UAUUGAAAAUUUCAUCUAUUUCUACAGUUAAAAAUUAGCAUGACUGACGGAAUAAACAGAUAAUUUCACAUGACAUACCACGUGUAUCUCAUGUUGAUGUACAAAGAACAGCUUUUAAAAAUAAAAAUGGAUGGAAAUUUUAAUA
Molecule: non-coding RNA, 145 nt
Organism: Gossypium raimondii (Peruvian cotton)
Lineage: Eukaryota; Viridiplantae; Streptophyta; Magnoliopsida; Malvales; Malvaceae
Source: Rfam